This 465-nucleotide ribosomal RNA is filed under the name uncultured bacterium. RNAcentral describes it as "partial 16S ribosomal RNA". It matches the Rfam family "Bacterial small subunit ribosomal RNA", at positions 338 to 795 of the family's 1533-position model. The record is from RNAcentral.
CCUACGGGUGGCAGCAGUGGGGAAUAUUGCGCAAUGGGCGAAAGCCUGACGCAGCGACGCCGCGUGUGGGAUGAAGGUCUUCGGAUCGUAAACCUCUGUCAGCAGGGAAGAACGGUCACUGUGCUAAUCAGCAGUGAAUUGACGGUACCUGCAAAGGAAGCACCGGCUAACUCCGUGCCAGCAGCCGCGGUAAUACGGAGGGUGCGAGCGUUAAUCGGAAUUACUGGGCGUAAAGCGCUCGUAGGCGGUAUGUCAAGUCAAGGGUGAAAUCCCCGGGCUCAACGUGGGAACUGCCUUUGAUACUGGCAAGCUGGAGUGUGGGAGAGGAUAGUAGAAUUCCAGGUGUAGGAGUGAAAUCCGUGGAGAUCUGGAGGAACAUCAGUGGCGAAGGCGACUAUCUGGCACAUAACUGACGCUGAGGUGCGAAAGCGUGGGUAGCAAACAGGAUUAGAUACCCCGGUAGUC